CCCCGACUCCAUCUGCCGGCCGUACUCAAGAGCAACCAUGACCUAGGGCAGAAACUGUUCAAUUUUUCAGGUUUCAAAUUAUGGAUCCACUUCCAGGAAGGAGCAGGGAUUUGCUUAAGAAUCAUAAGCAGCUGUGUCUUCGUUCAUUUCUAGGUUCAGAGAUUUGAAGGAUUGGCUCCGUCUGCUUUAUUAUUGCAGUGUUCCAAUAGAAGAAGAACAAGAAGAGGAGUGAUAGAUUUCAGUUUGGUUUGAAAAGUUCAAUUACUUACGAGGACUAUGUUGCCUGUUUUGCUUGAUUCACGCUGCCCAUUUCAGAAGCGUAUGCCUUUGUGAUGGGGGAUAACCGCAACAACAGUUGACUCUCAUAACUGGUUUGCUGACUGUGGUGCAGAAGGACUUUAGACUUCUACAUUAUCAACAGUUGCAUUUCGAUGAUUGUGGAGAUCGU
Molecule: long non-coding RNA, 448 nt
Filed under: Rosa chinensis
Lineage: Eukaryota; Viridiplantae; Streptophyta; Magnoliopsida; Rosales; Rosaceae
Description: sRNA RchiOBHm_Chr1g0376371
Source: RNAcentral